AUCCUGAGGUGUUCGUUAUUUGCCAGACAGUUUUGACCGAACACUUCAAUCGUCGGGAGUCUAGAUUCUUCUUAUGAUGACAUGCCUGUCAUGGGACCUCAGAAGUAAGAAGAUCGGACACCCACCUGCAUCGUGCGGGUUCAAAACGAUAUUACAAAGACGGCACAUUCGGGAUU
This 176-nucleotide non-coding RNA is filed under the name uncultured Sporosarcina sp. Its description in RNAcentral is "6S / SsrS RNA". It matches the Rfam family "6S / SsrS RNA". Rfam says of the family: E. coli 6S RNA was the first non coding RNA to be sequenced, but its function was unknown until recently. It consists of 184 nucleotides that fold into an extended hairpin structure with a large single-stranded internal bulge. The record is from RNAcentral. Lineage: Bacteria; Bacillati; Bacillota; Bacilli; Caryophanales; Caryophanaceae.